Molecule: long non-coding RNA, 1782 nt
Organism: Dreissena polymorpha
Lineage: Eukaryota; Metazoa; Mollusca; Bivalvia; Myida; Dreissenidae
Exons: 3
Source: RefSeq, a predicted model, not a curated record
CGAACUUAGAGGUUCGGGAAGCCUUCACGGCUAUAGAAUGUUGACACAGAGAUGUUUGGCCCAUGGACUGAGGGUGCGGACUAGUGAUAACAAACGAUUCUUUAAAUAUGUGAUCCAGAAGGUGUCAGACUAAGAACUGCGCACAGAUUUGCCAGACGGUCAUACUUCGCUGCUGGGCCAAACUUCAUUUAGCAUAUUGACGGCUAUGACAAAUUGAAGCCUUAUGGACUUUGUAUACACGACUGCAUCUGUGGAUUCAGCAGAAAGAUGGUGUGGUUAAACGUUUAUAACACAAACAACGAUCCCAAAGUGAUUGGAGGUUACUUUCUGAAGGUCGUGGAGAUAAUUGGUGGAACUGCGUACAUGAUUAGAGGCGAUUUUGGUACAGAAAAUGUUUUGAUAAAGGACAUGCAAAACUGGUUCAAGAGACAUAGUGACCAUGACACAUCAUACCUUGAAGGUGCAAGUACACAAAACCAAAGAAUCGAAGGUUGGUGGAGUUAUUUGCGACGGCAGCAUAUCCAACACUGGAUGGAUAUUUUCAAGAAUCUUUAGGAAAACGGCGAGUUCUCUGCCAGUGACAUAGACAAGAACAUAAUAAGGUCCUGUUUUAUGGCAUUGAUACAGACAGAGCUGGAUUUGGCAGUGUCAAUGUGGAACAACCACUCUAUCAGACAGUCACGGAACUUGAAUGCACCAAACGGCCAGCCUAACAGAAUGUUCAAUUAUCCGGAACUAUGGGGUAGCUGCAACUUCAUAUGUGAUGUUCACCAGGAUGACAUAAAUGUUGCCCCGACACAAGUGACAUUUCGUACGCCAGUUUGCUGUGACCCAGAUCUGUAUGAUAUAUUAAUCGGUGUCAUGGCAGAUGACUCACUUUCCUACCCAAAUACAUCAGAUGAGGCCUUAGCUCUAUAUCGUCAUCUUCGCAGACGAGUGUUAAGAAUGUUCAAUAUGCAGUAACAAAUCCGCCGGAAGGCUGCUUACUUAUUUCACGUGCAGCUCACACAUCUAUGUGUGUGAAAUAGGAAACCAAUCGAGGAGGACAUGUGUUUCGGUGACUUGAACGAAAGAAAACAUAUCUUCAAAAAUAGAAUGCUUGAUUUGUUUCAAAUUAUUAUUAUUUAUCGUUAUUUGAGACAUAUCCGGGAAAAUUUUAUGAUCCGAUUAUCUUGUUUGUGAAAUUGUGUUCAACGUCCGCUCAUGGUAUUUACAUGUAUUAAUAUAUGACGUGAAAUCACAAGAUUCCUAUGCUAAUUCUAUGAUUGUCCUGCGGCUGUUACAAAAUGUAAGUUUUAACCAUGUCAUUAAAUGCAAUUCAGGAUAUAACGAUUCAACAUUAUCCUUUUACAUUUUGUAAUAAUUAAACACUGCUCAGACGCAUAUGACAAAGUAAAGAUUUAUACUUUUUAAGACAAUAAUUUUGCAUAACAGAUUAAAAGUACAUGGUUUCAAGUGUGACCAUGAUUAUCAGACUAAUUCUGCAUAUCGUUUCGCUGUGUUGAAUUAUCCUGACACUUGAAGGGGUUUAGGCUUAAGAGGCGGGCAGAGACACAGACGGACAACAAUAUGUCUUUCAACAUGAGGAGAUACAUAUACAUAUAGAAAUCAAACUUCACUGGUUAAAAGCAGAUCCAAAUGUAAGACACAUUGAAACUAUUUGUAUACACUUGGCAGGUAUAAUCAUCAUGGAUUGUAGAAUUUGUAGUUUUAUAUGACACAACUUUGGUCACUUACUUCAAAGUCAAAGUUAUUAGAACAUCAACAUUUCUGUACAGUCUU